Dermacentor silvarum is the source of this 15872-nucleotide long non-coding RNA. RefSeq lists it as uncharacterized. The record is from RefSeq and is a predicted model, not a curated record. The transcript is spliced from 2 exons. Lineage: Eukaryota; Metazoa; Arthropoda; Arachnida; Ixodida; Ixodidae.
UCACACAUUAUUUUAUUUUUGUCGUUUUGUUUGCAGGGUCCUGGAGUUUGCAGCAGCGAUCCUGCCAAUGUCUGCAGGUCUUGCGAACACAGCACUCAAGUUUUGCACUUGAAAUCGGCAUGCAACUUCAAAAUGCCAUGGAUGCCUGCCCACCUAUGUGGUCACUGGUUUUCUGCGCCCUAAUUUUGAAUACUCUCACAAGGACAACGUUGCAUUGAACCAUUUUUGAUCUCGUGGCUCAGUCAUUUGAUACCUUGGGAUUAAUUGUUUAGCCAUCCAUUCACAUCAGCAGGUCAAGGCCAAGUCACUAUGCUGUGCAGGAAUUCUGCCCACCAACUAGAAAUCUUGUCUAGCGGUGGUUACAACUAAUUACUGUGGAUGUCCCAUGAAAGUUGCACACAUUGAAUGCAAACUACUGAUGGCAACUGAGUUGCUGCUUGAGGCUUUUCAAGUACGUCUCUUCAGUAGUCAUUUGUGCUGCCUUGCAUAUGGCAUGCGUUAGUGACACCUGCUGGGGGUCAUGACUUGGUGGAUAUGGCAUUUUAAAGCUGAGCAUGAGUUUGUGGGGAUGACUCCUUUACGGGUUUGACUCCCCAAUGCAGGGACUACAUUCCGGCGAUGUGUAAUGCAAACACGCCCAUGCUCAUGUACUUUGAUUUAAGCUCUGGUUAAAACAUCGCCAGGUUUUCAAGCCCGUGACUGCACUCUCACUGACAGCCAAGGUGUUGCUUUGGACUGUUCAGCAGCAUCAGCAUUAUGAUUCACCUAGCAGUGUGGAAAGAGAUUAGGCUGAUAGGCAGUUAUCAAAGACCACCGGCUGUUUUAGUGACCUCGCUGCUCGUCUCUCAGGACAGUUUGUUGACUUGCAAGUUGACUCAACCUUUGAGCCGUGUUGCCACAGUGGCCUGUAGUUAUUACAUAAUGAUAAGACGACUUGAUAGUAUCCAUGUCACACAAGAAACACUGGUGUUUCCCCUGUCUGAAGCUCCACAGUUAAUGAGACCUUGGACUGUCCAUUAUAUUGGGAUAUAAGUUAUUAGGCUCAACAAAAGGAGAAUCCCAUCAUGGCCAGUUGUCGGAUGGCCUGUCGUUGGCCAGUUGGCCAGUUGCACAUGGCCUGUCGUUGCCACGUGUACUACCUGUUCUUCGGGGGGAGCAAAGGUGGCUUGGAGUGCACUGAACAAGAAAGAAGAAAUCCACGCUGGCUGCACUGCUUCCAUAAAUUCGCCAUGCAAAAGGGCACUGUCACUGUCAACUUGAGGUUGACAACGAAUCACAGACCUGGAUCUAUUUGUUGGUAUAUGUAGAAGUUCCACAAACGAGGCACAUGUGGCCAGUUGUCAGGGUUGCAUGGCCAAUCAUCGCCAUAUGCGCGCCCUAUUCUUUAAGGAAACAAGUCCAGUGAAGGGAAAAAGGAGAGCCACAGCCAAAUGCUGCAAGGAAUUCAGAAGCACAUUGUUGCCAACAGCUUGGGGUGGUCAAUGUGCUAUGGCGACAAAACUCUUUUAGUCCGCAGAAAAUAUUGUACUUAGCACAUCGCGAGAGUAAUUGCUUUCCAGAAGACGAGACUUUCCAUGACCACCAUGCCAAUGUCGCACAACAGACAAGUGGAAAACCGGUGACCAUUUUCUACAGUCGUGCAUGAGAGGGCGUUGCAGAUUUAUCAUCAUCAGCCUGUUAUGUCCACAUGAGAACGAAGGCCCCUCCCAGUGAUCUCCUAGGUGACUCCUCUACACAUGUCUUCGCCAUGCUGCUUUCAAGGUACACUGCAGAAAACUGCCCUUCUGCACACCGAUGCUUAAGGCUUGACAUAGUCCAUCUCUCUCAACCUUGUUGUGGUCAAGGCAUACCAAAGAGGACUACCCUUUGGUGCACCAAGGCAUGGGUUUCGACAUUCUGACUCCUCUACACCAUCUGUCCUUGCCAUGCUGUUUUCAAGGCGCACCGCUGAAGACAGCUCUUCUGCACACCGAGAUGUAGGGCUUGACAUGGUCCAUCUCUCUCGGCCAUGCUGUGGUCAAGGCACACUGCAGAAGACUGCAUUUCAGGCACCAAGACAUGGGGUUUGGCAUGGUGACUCCUCUACACCAUCUCUUUGCCAUGCUUCUUUCAAAGUACGCCGCAGAAGACAGCUCUUCAACACACCAAUGCAACGUAGGGCUUGACAUGGUCCAUCUCUCUCGGCCAUGCUGCGAUUAUGGCACACUGCAGAGGACUGUCUUUUGGCACACCGACAAGACGUGAGGCUUGACAUUGUCCAUCUCUCUUGGCUAUGCUGCGGUUAAGGGGGACGUGACUUUUGCAUUGCGAAAAAAUUCAAAUUUCACACUGCAAAUUUUUAAAAAUCACAUUUUGAAUUUAUAACUCUUUUUCUAUUUUAUUUCGAAAUAUCUUCCCUAAAUACCAUGUAGAAGUGCUCUAAAAAAUUUUUAUCACCACAGAUGGCGAAAACUUUUGUGGAAAUGACCGAAAAGCAGUGUUUUUCAAGCCACAAUCUCCGGAAUAGCGCAACCGAGUGCCGCCAUCAUGGUCUCAUGAGAAAUUGCAUUUCUCGGUCUUCAAGUUUGCCGUGUCAGCUAUCUACUCCAGACAUAAACAAGUGCCCAAAGCAAAUGAUUGAAGGUCAUUCUGAAGUUGCCGAUUGGCUGUGGCCUGCCACGUGACUCCAGCGUGCUUUGUCAUUGGUCUGGUGCCCACUCCGAAGGUCGUCUGCUCUUGCCACUUCAUGAGUUAACGUCUCGACCACCGUAAUCACAAGUGUCAAAACGGGCACUUUGCAUACAUCGCAGAAGUGUGGCCGAUCCCUCUGUUUCUGGAUGUCUCACAGUAGCAGGUAAGCAUUCUGAGCAUCGGUGACUUGGACUUCGCGACCAAGGUUCGUGCGCGUAAUCCUCGGACACUGCUAAGCCUUUUAAGCAUCGGUGCUUUGGAAUUCGCGACCAAACAUUUCGCGCUUUGGCACCUUCGAUUUCGCAAUCAGGCACAUUGCCAAUGUGCAGACCCCUCAGACCUGCAACCAUGCACAUAGCGCAUGUACUCUUUGGACCCACGACUAAGCAUCUCGCAAAUCAGUGCUUCGAACUCUGCGAUUAAGCACAUCACGCACGGACUCCUCGAACCCACGGCUAGGCAUUUCGUGCAUUGGCACGGACUGUGCGACUAUAGUGCAUCGAGCGUUCACUCUUCGGACCCGCAGCUAGGCAUUUUAUGCAUCAGCUCCUUGGACCAGUACUAGGCGUUCCGCGCGUCAGCACCUCAGACCCGCAACCAAGCACAUCACGCAUCGACUUUUUUAUCAUAUGAUCACAAUAUUUUGUAACUAUCUAUCAUACCAUCCCUAUAGUGAAAACCUCAUCAUCAGCUCUGUUCACAAGGCCCCUUGAGCUCAUGCACACACGGGCUGUAGAAGUGAGCAAUCACACAAAAGUACAAGCUGGAAAAGCACUUAGCAGCUGCAUUGCUGCCUAUCAGUGACUCUGAUCCUAAGCUUCACAGCCAUUGUCAAGGAAAACAACUCGGAAGGCUGUUGAAAGCUUUCUUUCAUUCAUUGAUAUAGUCUAUUCUACCAAAAGAAAAAAAUGCUUCACUGAUUAUAUUGGAGACUGUUAUGAAUGAGGCAGUCUACAGGUACGACACUGGAGCUAUAUUCUUGCCCACACGAAGUUCUGCGCCUUGCUGGGUUUGAAACCCAGGCAACAUGCUGAGCAGCAGUAAAGAUUGCAGUACGGAAAAGGGGGGGGGGAUGAAGCCACACAAAACUAGAGGUCACAUGUCCAAGAAGCCCUGCAUCACAAAACAAGCCAAAUAUACAAAUUUUCUGUCUUUUAGAAAACAGAAGAGAAAGUGAAACUGAGCGACGUUUUCUCCAAAGCUUUUUCUUUUUUCCUUUCUGCUCAGGCUUUUGGAGCUGACUUCUAACAAACUGUGAGGCCUAUUUUGACUGGUUUUGUCAUGUUCCUUGGGCUACAGUGUAGGUCGCGACAUUCUUGCUUUCUUACCUUGACUUCUUUCUAAAUUUAUGAUGUGGCUCUUUGUUCACCUCAUAAGUACCUGAUGCGAAGGUAGCGUAAAGAAUGACAAUCUAAACAUUUUGUUUUGUGAAAAAAAGAAAAAUGUAGUGCCCUUAAGCAUACAUUUAGAUAUGCAGUCAAUGUUUAGCAAGCCUUGCUUCGCAUUCUUUAAGCUACCUAGGCCCUCCACGAAGUGCAAAGGAGAAUAGAUUUUGAAUAAUCUGUUCUCAAGAUAUCUCUCUGAAACAUUUAUGGGAGCAUCGGGGAGGCAUUCUCGAUAUCUGUGCCAAUUUUCAUCAACAUCCAUUAUGGAAUAAGAAAGUUGGUUCUCAAAGCCACGUCCCCCCGUUAGAACACUUCGCUGAGAACUGCCCGGUGCACCAAGACAUGGGGUUCGAAAUGGUGACUCCUUCAAACCAUCCAUUUUCACCAUACACUUUCAAGGCACACCACAGAAGACUGUGCACCAACAAGGUGUAGGGCUUGACAUGGUCCAUCUCUCUCGACCUUGUGUUCAAGGCACACCGCAGAGGACUGCGCUUAGAUGCACCGGCAAGGUGUCGGGCUUGACAUUGUCCAUCUCUCUCAGCCACACUGUGGUCAAGGCUCACUGCAAAGGACUGCCGUUAGGGCCAUGAAGACAGGGUAUCACAGGGUGACUCCUCUAAACCACCUGUCUUCGCCAUGCAGCUUUCAAGGCACAUCGCAGUACACUGCCCUUCUGCCCACCAAGAUGAAGGGCAUGACGGGGACCAUCUCUCAGCCAUGCCGUGGUUAAGGUGCACUGCAGAGGACCCCCGUUCGAUGCACCAAAACAGCGGUUUGAUAUUUUUACUCCUCUACACCAUCUGUCUGCCAUGCUGCUUUCAACGCACACUGUAGGAGACUGCUCUUCUGGACACUGAGACCAAGGGUUUGACAUGGUCGAUCUCUCUCAGCCAUGCUGUGGUUAUGGCACACCACAAAGACCUGCCCUUCGAUGCACUGACAAGACGUAGGGCUUGACAUAGUCCAUCUCUCUGUCAUGCUGUGGUCAAGGCACACAGCAGAGUACUACUCUUUGGCGCGCCAAGGCAUAGGGUUUGACAUGGCGAUUCCUCACACCAUCUGUCUUCGGCAUGCUGCAUUCAAGGCAGACCACAAAAGACUGCUUUCUGCGCAUUGACGAAGUAGGGCUUGACCUGGUCCAUCUCUCGGCCAUGCUGUGGUUAAGGCGCACCACAGAGGACUACCCUUGGGCGCCAUGACAUAGUAUUUGACAUGGUGACUCUUCUACACUACCUGUCCUUGCCUUGCCGCUUUCAAAUCGCACUGCAAGUGAUGGUCCUUCUGCACACCGACAAGAUGUAGGACUUGAUAUGGUCCAUCUCUCUCGACCAUGCUGUGGUCGAGGCACACCACAGAGGACUUCCCUUUGUCACAUUGAUGAGAUGUAGGACAUGACAUGGUCCAUAUCUCUCGGCCAUGUUGCUUUCAAGGUACGCUGCAGAAGACAGCCGUUCUGCACAUCGACAACGUAGGGCUUCACAUGGUCCAUCUCUCUCGGCCACGCAAUGGUCAAGGCACACUGCAGAGGACUGCCUUUCGGCGCACCAGAACAUAGGGUUUGACAUUCCGACUACUCUACACCCUCUGUCCUCACCAUGCUGCUUUCAAGGCACACUGCAGAAAACAGCCCUUCUGCGCACCGACGUAGAACUUGACAUGAUCCAUCUCUCUUAGCCAUGCUGUGGUUAAGGUGUGCCACAGAGGACUAGCCUUGGGCGCCAUGACAUAGUAUAUGACGUGGUGACUCUUCUACACUAUUUGUCUUUGACUUGCUGCUUUCAAAUCACACUGCAAGAGAUGGUCCUUCUGCACGCUGACUAAAUGUAGGACUUGACAUGGUCCAACUCUUCUGACCAUGCUGUGGUCAAGGCACACCACAGAGGAUUUCCCUUUGGUGCAUUGACAUUGUGUAGGACUUGAUCUGGGCCAUACCUCUCGGCCAUGCUGUGGUCUAGGCACACCGCAGAAGACUGCCCUUCUGCACAUCAACAAGACAUAGGGCUUGAUGUGGUCCAUCUUGGCCAUGCAGCGGUCAAAGCACGCCGCAGAGGACUGCCCUUCGUCUUACCAAGACACGGGGUUUGAAGUUCUGACUCCUCUACACCCUCUAUCCACGCCAUGCUGCUUUCAAGGCACACCGUAGAAGACAGCCCUUCUGCGCAUUAAGAUAUAAGGCUUGUUGGUAUGGCAUUUUUAGAAAAAAAGGUUCCUUUCGUGCAGGUUCGUGGGAAAGAAGAAAGGAUACACACUACAGCACGAGACUGAUUUGGUACAUCUCUCUUGGCCAUGCUGCAGUCAAGGCACCAUAAGACUGCCCUUAGGCACACCAAGACAUAGGGUUCAACUUGGUAGCUUCUCUGCACCAGGGAGAGUUUUAGAGCCUGAUAUUAAAACCAUUAUGCCACGGAUGCAUGGACAAGCGGAACCACUGCAAUUAGCAGCAAUUAUGCGUGUUCUGCACUAAAAACAAAAGUGUAGAUUGCUUCGCAAUUUAGGUCAGGAACGGCCCAUAAAGCGUAAUAAAUGAACCCACGAGAACGUCUCAAGCCACAAGUAUGAAAAUCAAUCACAUUCGUGCACCAUCAUUCCCAUGGUGGCUGAACGAUUGCAGCACCGGAGUUCCCUCUAGUAACUAUUGUAGGAAACUACUCUGCAGCAUGUCUCUUGAGUUUGCUUCUGUCAAGACAUACCAUGGAGGACUGCUCUUAUUCAGAGACUGCCUAGACAAAAGACUUGUUGAAGUGGCCCCUCUGCAUUUCCGAUGCUACUGGCAUCCCGAGCUUUUUUGAUGCUGUGUAAUCCAGAAAGAUUGGUCAGUGUUGCUGAGCAAUGCUAAUUGCUAUUUCUUAACAAGGCAAGAAUUUUUGUGAAGGCCCACUGAAAGUCUUAAAGGGUCUUUCACUAGGAAUGGGCAUUACAGAUAAAAAGCACGGCGUGUAGAUUACGCCUUGGCGAUUAUUUAGAAAACCGUGAAACGACUGCGAGGCAAGAAAAUGGUCGAAAUUUCAAACAGAAAUCCUGCAUUCCCUUUUGAGGGAGUCGAGGUCACGCCCACGAAUGCUUCUGCGCAAGACGCACUGCUUGUAAUAUCGCCGACCAUGGCACGUGACUGUGGUUAAUCACCCAAUGCUUGUAACACCAAUGCCACCACUGGAAGUGUAUCGCGUAGCAAAAUGGAAGCGAAGAAAAUAGAGGUGGGGCUCGUGACGUGAUUGUGACCUGGUCCGUCAGCUUUGGUCUGGGGAAGACUGAAAGGGAACGCAGCUUGUGGACACUUGUUGAGGCAAAGGGGGGGAGUGUUCUUGUUGACAGUGACGCUUGUUUCCUGGCGGCAUGGUAACAGGACAGUAAAUUUCUUCACUCCCCUGCAAUGAUGAACCAAUUUGGAAAAUCAUUUUGGUGAAACGAUCCCUAGACAGGGCCUUCCAACAUUCACUGCAUAACCAAAAUUUGCAGUGGGCUCUUGUGAGUGUGAGGGUGGUAAGUCCUACCCGAAACACAGGUAUCUGAUCCUCGGGCGAGGGCGUGACUAUAACAACAAUGGCAUGACUGCUCAUGCAUUGCGUACCUUGUAUCAAAUUCUAGGUGGGGACAGAUACUACUCUAAACCACGCUGAUGCUUUGCUGUAAGCGCACAGAGCUGUAGAGGCUAAAUGCCUCUGUUGAGGCAGAGGCAUGUUGCAACUGCAAAUAGUCUCGCAGAUUUGCAUGAGCGUGCUGCUCAUGCAUAUUUGUGCAUAUUUGCUCAGUGUUGCUUGCGGUCCUUAUUUUCUAGCAGCUAACGUUUACCAUGUGCUAACCAUUCACAACAUGAAGCAGUGCUUGGUUGUGCUAAUCCUUGGGCUCGCCUAUGUACAAAUACUAAAAUUCGAUCAUUGUUGAAUGACAGAUUUUUUUUGCAAUUGGAGUGUUAGCAAAUGGAAAUGGUGACACAAAUUUUCUCUUUGGUUCAUGCUGUUCUCUGGUGACUGGGUGCUGGAUUGCCCUUGUGGCACUGAUUUUCUAUAUUGCCUGGGGAAUACUGAAGCGCGCACAUAAUUGUGUACUUUCACAAUCGAAAGCCAUUAAAUUUAGCAUCUUUAAAACCUUUAUUUUUCUUUGCUGUGACAAAUAUGAUUCGCCAGUCUUUCGACACCACUAAAUGGCAGCUUAUGUUCAUUGGUAUACCUGCCUUGAAGAACAGUGUGUCACUGCUUGCCUCCUCAGGGAAUUCAAAUAAUACUGUACUAGACACUUCACCAGUAGACCAGUUCUGAAUGGCCCUGGAACGCUGCUUGCCCACUUGAGGGGAUGUUUUCAUCGGGAGUGUCAAGUGUGGGAAGCCAGUCAAGAGGUAGUCUUGCUCCAGACCACUGUCAGUGAUGUUCUGUGCAGGGAAUUUUCCCUUUUGCAAGGAAUUUUCAGCCACAAUUUUGGAUGAAAGGGAAAAAAAUGGAAUCUUUGCAACAUUGCAGGGAAUUGUAGGAUUGAUGAAGUUAAUAUUAUAAUUAUCCCUUUGAGUAGCAUCACAUUGACAAUCUACUGCACAUCCUUUUCAGUGCACAGGCCGAACUUGCAGUCAAUCAGUUUCAAGUUCUAAUAGUCUUUGUUGUUGAAAAGCAACCGUACUGUUAGGUACGAAAUGUGAACUGCAGUUUGCUGCAUCAAUAUUCGAUAAGGAUACCUAUUCAGAAUAUCUAAAGAGACAGUGAGCCAGCAGUGGCGGUUGAUGCUAGAGCUCUGUCUACGGGCAAGAUAUGUCGGGAACUGACCUUAGAAAUUGAGUUCUCAAUGUAUUGUGUCCAAUCGAGACAGACAUUGAAUAAACCAUAAUGUUUUGAACACGAGUUCACAGACAGCUGCCAAGACACCUUCUCACAUACACACACACUUAACCUAUGUGUGUGUGUAGGUGUAGUUAAAUGUUUUGUGAUAUUUUUUAAAUAAUGCAGGAAAUAUUGUUGCAAAUAAGGAGUUUUCGUGCUUAGGAAUGGGAAUUGCGCAAAGUACAGAACAUCACUGCCGUCAGCUGCACUUCAUCCCUCAAAGAGGCAGGACGUGUGUCGAGUGAGCUACUGAACAACAUUUUGCAAUGUGGUGAACACAGUUUAAAUCGUGCAUCCGGGACCUCAAGGAGAUGCGAUGUAAUGCUAAUGCAUUUACCGCUACAUUUUGUAGCAGUGUCUUUUCAGACGCUAAUCCCUGUUUGUGCUUUUCGUGCUUCGUCAGUGGUCAGAGCGACACUCCCCUAGCAUUAUCAACAGGUGCAGCCAGCCCUUAGCAGUGGAUGAUAAGACUGGCAAGAAUCGAGCAGAAGGCAUAGCAAGAAAAUAGCAGCACAGCUGUCCUGUCCUUCGUCAGUAGAUUGGCUUGGACAGCAAUGGACAGUUACCUUUGUCAACAUAUUAGUCUUGUAUAGCAGCGCAAAGCUAUGUUCCUCUAUCAGUGGGUCAAUCUUGGGCAACACUGGAUGACUGCUCGCAUUAAUCAGCGGAUGAAUCCUGGAUAUCGUUGGUCCACACUAUGCUUUCGUCGACAGACCAAAGAUUGGCAAUGCUGGAUCACUGGGGUGACCAUGUCAGUUUGCAGCCACACGGAGCUCAUUUUGGCUGUAGUAACAAAUGGGCACACCAGUGUUGAUUUACGCAGGAAUGUUAUAAGGUUAUUGCUUUUGUGGUGUUUAUCUUUGGCAAGAAAUCAAUGUUAAACCAUGCUAAAUCCAUCAGAAGUGCUGUCCUGGACAACAUAGGAUCACUGCUUGGCCUCACCACUAGGUACAUCCUGGGCAACACUGUUGAGUGAUUGCCAUGAUCAGUGGCUCACUCCUGGACAAUGCUGGGUCACUGUAUUUUUUUCACCGAUGGAUCACACUUGGGCAACUCUGUACGUGUGAGUGCCUGCCUUUAUCAGACCAGUCUUGGACAGUUCCGGAUGGCUGUUUUUAUUGCCUUAUAAAUCGGCCUAUAACAACACUGGACCAUGGCUUGCUUUCAACGCUUGAUGAACCUUGACACUGGAUCACGGCUUGACUUCUUCGGUAGAUAAGCCUUUGAUAAAAAGGUGAAUGACUGCUCGCCUUUGCCAACGAAUCAUCUUGGACAAGCUGGAUCACUGCUGGCCUUUAGCAGUGGACAUGUUAUGGGUUUGACAUCUUGGUCGCUACUUGCUUUCAGCACUGUCACCCUUUGGCUGCACUGGAUACUACCUUAGUCAACAGAUAUAUUGGACAAUGCUUAGUCAUUGCUCACCCUUGUCAGUGGAUCUCUCUUGGGCAACACUGGAUUGCCGGUUUACUUAUCAAUGGAUGUCUUGCAUAACACAUGGUCAGUGCAUUUGCCUUUGAUGACGCUGGAUCACUAUAGGGCUUUAUCAGUGGAUCGUCUUGAACAGCACUGGAUGUCUCCUUGCCUCAAAACCGCCUGAACACUACUGGACGAUUGCAUGUGUGCAUCAGUGGAUAAGUCUUGCCUCUGAAUCAUAGCUUUAUUGACAUGUCAGCUUUAGGCACUACUGUACUGCACCUUGCCUUUGACAGACCAGUCUUGGUCAGUGCUAAGUGACUGCCUUUUCAGUGGGUCACUCGUGGACAAUCCUGAACCACUGCUUGCCAGUGACAGCCCUGGAUAAGUCGCUGCUGGGCCAACAUACCACUCUUGGAUACUUGUAUUAUUGCUGCUGUCAUCAAUAGAUAUGUCUCGGACAACAGCGGAUCACAGCGUGCCUUCACAGCAUACCCGUCUCGGAAAAUACUGGUUUGACAUGACUGGCCUUGGUCAACGCUAGAUUUUAGCUUGCGUGCAAGAGUGUGCAUUGGGCUGGGUGCCUGCCUGAUGUCGUCAGUGGAUCACUCUUGAGCAACACUGGAUGUCUGCCUGCCUUCACCAAUCGAUUCGUCUUAACAGUGGAUCUUUCUUGAGCAACAAUAUGUCUUGCUUUCAUCAAUGGACUAUUCUUUGACAGUGAAAGAUAACUACUUGCCUUCACAAGGAAGUCUUGGUUACCUGUGCCACACACUUUUUUUUGGAGGACAGAAGUUUACCGUAACAUAGAACUUCUGUGUUCAUUGAAGACCAAAUAAUUUCUUUGUCGGGGAAUAAUGUUCGAAUUUUCUUUUCUGCGAAGUGUGUUUCACCAUGCUGUACUUCAUCGCAAAGUUAAAUUGUUAAAACUUCUGGAAGUUCUCCUUCGGAAAGGUUACUAAUGCAGUACAUUUUUGCAAUGGGAGCAUCUCAUUUGUUCGCACCAUAGUGCUUAGGUGACACGGACAAGGAAGAACGACCAGGACAGAUGCCCAUCCUUGUUGUUCUUCCUUGUCCACCUCACCUAAGUGCUAUGGUGCGAAUAACUAUCAAACCGACUAUCCCAAAAGUCUGUAAUCUGAGAGCAUCUCAUGUCUAUAAAGGGACAUGAAAGAAAAGCAUGAAAUCAGAUAAGAGUGGUAAAGUGUUCUUUGAAAACUUUAUUUUCAUUAAAUUUUUUGUUAACAGGUUAGAAGAGAAAAUGAAUUCAGGUCACAGUUUAAACCCUUUGAGGGUCAGUUUUUUGUGCAAAGUGUAGCCCCCAGAAUCCAAUUUCUUUUUUUGCAGAUUUAAAAUCUUCAGGCUGACCAAUUUCGAAAAAAUAUGACUGAAAUUUUUUUUUAGAGCAACCAUAAAGUGACGGAAAAAAGAUUUACGUGGGUAAACAUGCAUUGCUUACUCAUGAAUACAGGAGAGCUUCGAUAAAUAAUUUAAAAUAAAAAUAAAUAGAUACACUGAAAUAUAUUCUUAUUUGGCACUUGGGUAGUAGUCCGCAUCGGGAGAAUCGGCGCUUGACUCGCAGCAAAGCAACCAGUGCACACGUCCGUAGCAUAAUCGAACCGUGUAUGCGAGCACACGCAAGGAAACUAUGGUUGUGCACCCGCAAGAAAAACCAAAUGAGUCGGAAGCCUGCAGUAAUCCUUCAUUCCGUUGCCAGUGAGGGGCAAUCUGUUUUUACGUGCCGAGUCUUGAGAAAAAAAAACACGGGCAUGGCAGCAUUGUUUGUAUACGGCAACAUCUUUUGUGUAUGUCAGCGCCCGCCUGUGAACAGAUGUAAUCGCAUCCCUGUGAGCAACCGACGAGCUGACAUCUAGCGGUGACUCUUUGAGAGAUUAAAACCCCGAUAGACCAGUUCUUAUGAGCGCAACGAACGGAAACGGCUCGUGAGACGAAACCAAAACUAACCGCUGCACACCCUCGCACGCUAAGUCCAAGCAAAGCAGGAGGUAAAUCCACAAUGCAGAUGGAUUCUCCUUUCAACUGAAGGUUUCCUCAAGUCUGGGAAAGUCGGGGCUGCCAGCAAUGUGCUGACAGAACAGGUCGACGUUUGCUCUGGCAUUGGGAUCGAUGCGUCUGUUCAGGAGUUUGCUGCCACAAAGAUAGACCAUUUCAUUGUCAGCAAUGGAUCAUUUCAGCCCCACCCCUCUCAAAGUGGAAACCAAGUAAACUUUAAAUGGAACCUGCAAGGAGCCCUUGCAUCUAGCGAAACUAUAGAAACUUGUAGCGGCGCUAUCUUCAAUCGCAGCGCCGCCGACAAGGAAGACAAGUCACGAACGCAGAGCGCGGAGCAGAAGACAAUCCAGCAUGGGGCCAGGGCUGCUGGUAUGCCUGUGGCCACGGCCAUCGACAAAGGCAACCUCCGUGAACCAGCAUUCGUUCAGACGCGACCUGAUGGAAGGCACCCCGCGGUCACCCAAAGGCAGAGACCGGGGAGUGAUAAAUGUUGUCCACCCAAAGCUGGCCAACAUGGGAACUGAGCUUGGGACCUUUCACGCAUUGGAGGCAAGAUGCAUAUUCCUUUCACUAGCCAUAACAAUCACGUUUGCCCAGGUUGGAUGGCCAUGACAGCUGGGGUAAGACAGUGACAGUGCUACAAUAGGUCAAGCAAGUUUCUGAAAACUGGUGAAAUGAGGAUUUGGGCACACUGGUUAGGUUCUCUUCAUUCAGCUGUGUGAGAAUGCGUUCCUUGAUGUGGCAUUAUUUCCAUGGCUGAAGGAUGGGUCAAUGAAUGAGCGAAGGGAUUGCGAAUUGCAACUGGGCAGUGAUGAAAGUGCUGCACCAAUCGCGCCAGACUGGGCCGUGAAGGAAAUGCUGCUACAUGCUUAUGUUUAUCGCAGGUAUUGCGUGAGGCCUGCACCUACACGCACCUACUCUGAAUAUCUGAAUAAUUGGGCAGAGAAAAAAAAAGAAAGUUUUGCAAAAAGAAAGCAAAGAAUCACUGUUGUUGCUUUUUACGUUGCUAGUGGUACGAAAAAUAAGCCUAAUUUUGCUGUGUUGUGCUUCAUUGAAAUAGUGUCUAAGUUAAGUAACGCGAUGGUUGAUGCAGCAGGGGCACUUCACAUGCACCUCUCGCUAGUCCGUCAUGCAGCCUGAUGUGCAUCUCACACAAUUUCUUUGUUUGGAGCUUUCCGUCUACACCGUUCCCUCUAGUAAACGCGCAAGCAUAAUUUAGAUGCGUUGGCGGUAGUUCCCGGCGGAUUGCCCAUGGACCCGAUCUCCGCUACUGUAGCCGCCAGUUUGGCCCGUGUGCCUGAUCUCGCGUCACGUUGCUGAAGCUAGUGGCCAUGUCAGCUCGCCAAAGCUUUGCACUCACCACAGAGUAUCAUCACAUGGCCGUGUCAUGCGCCCCCACGAUUAGACUAAAGGAAGACACGUGCUCCCUCCAACUCCUCUCUUAGCGUGCCCUCGCCUGCCUGCUCACCCCCUCUGCGCGUGCAAAGACUCCGAGCAUCAAGCCACCCUCCUUCUCGACUCACCCUUGCACGCUUUCCCUCGCCACUACAGCAUUAUAGCCCAGAGCCACAAUUCUGUGACCCUUGGACUUUGUACGGAACCUCACGGCAACUUUGACAACGAUGGAAGUUCACCUGGACUAUUCGUAUAAUUGCUAUAGUUAUGAAUAAUUAUUUUAUGUGAUUGUGGUGACGCAUGAUGCACAGCUGUUCGAUGCACCUUUUUCGCAGUCGCUCAACGGUGUACCAACAUGCGUUAAGUGCAUCUUAUUACUGUUAGGCAGCUUGGAUGGGGAAAAAAAAUUGGCAAAACGGGACAAGGAAGUAAACACUGGCCACACAACACAAAAGCUACUCCAUCUGUACCUGCGAGGGCAAUAGAAAUGGCAUCCGUGUUUAUGUUCUAUCUCGAUUUGGGCUUUUUAGCUGGGCUUCUGAUCAGCUAUGAAAUUGCUCGGCUAGUAAUUUCAAUUGUACUGAUAGUGUCAAUAUAUAGCAGCCACCGAAUCCUUUUAAUAAUGCUGGCAUCAGCGCCUUGCAGAGGGACAGACAUGUUGCUGUGAAUGGAAUAACCUGGAAGGCCAUAUGCUGUGACUAGCAGAAGCUCAUCCUUGCGCAUAAUACGGUGCUUGCGCAAUAUUAUUAAAUAAUCGGGUGGUUAUACAUAUUCAACUUGUUAAGCGGAUGAAACGUUUUAACAGAUGAAAUGGAUAAUGAAGCCAAGGGCAGCUUGGAGGGAAUUAACUCCUUAUUGAAAUGCAGAAUUAACUGGGAAUUAGGGUUAUAUCUGCAUGUGUCUCCAUCUUAUAUAACAAAAAAAAAAAUGGACGAGCAAGUUGAAGAAAAACUUUGAUCUUAGUAUAAUGCAUAAUGAAUGCAAGGUUUUGGAAAGUACCAACUUGUAUAUAGACUUCCUCUUUCGCACCAGAGCAGUACGUUACUGCUCCAAAGCAUUGUAUUUUUGCUCCGAAAGCGUAUAUUUCUGCUCUGAACUGUGAUUCUUUCUGCUCCAAAAGCUGCUCCAGAAGACCAAAUUCCGCUUUCAUCACUGUGACUGGGAAACAGCCUGCCCCUGUUGAUGUGGUAGCGGAGUUCGCUGCGGUCUGAGCAGCAGGCUUAAACUGUGUGCCAGGAGUUCAGGAAAGUUACACGGCUCCCGAGGAAUGAAAAUUGCAUGCAGGCAAAUGCCAUUGCUCCCUCGAAGCAAUGUGUAUUUAACACCCUAAACUUCAACAAAGAAAGAGUAGGCCAUCUUAUUGACCAUAAAUUUGAAUGAGCCGUUGUGCAAAUCCCAACGGAAAAGAUGGAACAGUGUCCGUUAAAAAACACUGGGAUGGUUACCAAGCUUGUCAUCCCUUUCUUGAAUAACUUGGACGGUAACAAGUACGUGGUGCUGAAGUUGCGGAAAAUUGGAUCUUGUAAGAAGGUGAUUGUGUGAACUGGCUUGGACAGUGACAAGGUGCGCUAAGACGUGUUGGCAAUGUGCGCAGACACAGCUUUCUUUGGACAAUGGCACAUAUGCUCUGCUGUAAGAGUUACUCAUCGGUUAAACAAGAGAAGGGACACUUGAGUGUGUCGCUUCUGUGCUCAGUGGUUCGCUGUGUGCUCAUGCAAUAACGUCAUUGCCAUCUGUUUCAAGAGUAGAAACGGAAAUGGCGCGAACUCAGAUGCUACAUUAAUCUUGACGGUGCGACGCCUGGUGUGCCACAGCGAAAGCUCAUAUUGCUACGCCUGUAAAGAAGACACGCUGCAAACGUGCAUAGCGAGAACUGCGGCAUCGAAGCGCAAGGGCACGAACGCGGUGAUUCUCUUCUCCACCUCCAGGCACCUUCCUCCUCCAGUGCUCGCUUCCCUCACGGCGACAAACAUAAUCUCGGCAAUUUGACAGACGGGGCAUCUACACUUGCACUUAAAGGGAAGCGAGAACUGCUGGUACAUGUGCACAAUGGGCUUGAGAGCUGGGCCAAUGCGGUGGCGAAGUACCGGCAUCAUUUCACACAAGCUUUCGACGUCUUACUGGAAUUUCGGAACCACACAUGCCCUGGCCAUGAUCCUUGGUCAUGCACCUUGAAGUUGGAAGAAAA